CCUACUGGCGGCAGCAGUGAGGAAUAUUGGUCAAUGGUCGGGAGACUGAACCAGCCAAGCCGCGUGAGGGAGGAAGGUACAGAGUAUCGUAAACCUCUUUUGUCAGGGAACAAAGACUGGGACGCGUCCCCGGAUGAGUGUACCUGAAGAAAAAGCAUCGGCUAACUCCGUGCCAGCAGCCGCGGUAAUACGGAGGAUGCGAGCGUUAUCCGGAUUUAUUGGGUUUAAAGGGUGCGUAGGCGGAACAUUAAGUCAGCGGUAAAAGCGAGGGGCUCAACCCCUUUAAGCCGUUGAAACUGGUGAUCUUGAGUGGGCGAGAAGUAUGCGGAAUGCGUGUUGUAGCGGUGAAAUGCAUAGAUAUCACGCAGAACUCCGAUUGCGAAGGCAGCAUACCGGCGCCCGACUGACGCUGAGGCACGAAAGCGUGGGGAUCGAACAGGAUUAGAUACCCUUGUAGUC
Molecule: ribosomal RNA, 459 nt
Filed under: uncultured bacterium
Lineage: Bacteria
Description: partial 16S ribosomal RNA
Rfam family: Bacterial small subunit ribosomal RNA
Source: RNAcentral